Molecule: long non-coding RNA, 402 nt
Filed under: Trifolium pratense (red clover)
Lineage: Eukaryota; Viridiplantae; Streptophyta; Magnoliopsida; Fabales; Fabaceae
Description: long non-coding RNA (TPRA_LNC012393)
Source: RNAcentral
AAGUACAAAAGUAAGUAUGUUUUUAUCAUCUCCACAGGGACUGAUGCGAUAUCGAUGCCGUUCAACAAUUAAUAUAAUUUCAAGUAAAUGAUUUCAAAGAUUGUUGAUUACGAAAGUUGCGAAAACAUGAAAGUAGUAAAGAUGAUUAAUUUGACAGAGAGAUUAAAUUGCUGGGAUUAGCUUUCAAUCACUCAUUCAUACAUAUUCCCCUAAUCAGUUACACAGGUUCUAGUCAUCUAUCAAUAUUAUCACGUAUCGCUCGUCGAAAGAGAUAUCUAUUGUAUCUAUUAACCUCCGAUGUCUCAGAUCGUCAAUCAAUACAAUAGCAUUGAGAUUCGAUACUCUGAGUGAAUAUUAAACUUAAAUCUAUGUCUAGAAUUUAGAGUUCAAUAGAUAUUANNN